CAAUAGCGUAUAUUAAAGUUGUUGCAGUUAAAAAGCUCGUAGUUGAAUUUCGGGUCCCCGCGCUCGGUGCUUCAUUGUGCCGUCGUGGUGUCCCUCCUCGCCGUAAGGCGUCCUUUACUGUGAAAAAAUUAGAGUGUUCAAAGCAGGCAAUCGCUUGAAUACAUUAGCAUGGAAUAAUAAGAUAGGAUCUUGUCUAUUUUGUUGGUUGCGGACAACGAUAAUGAUUAAUAGGGAUAGUUGGGGGUGUCCGUAUUGAGCUGUCAGAGGUGAAAUUCUUGGAUUUGCUCAAGACGAACUACUGCGAAAGCAUUCACCAAGGAUGUUUUCAUUAA
This 332-nucleotide ribosomal RNA is filed under the name uncultured eukaryote. Its description in RNAcentral is "partial 18S ribosomal RNA". It matches the Rfam family "Eukaryotic small subunit ribosomal RNA", at positions 592 to 976 of the family's 1831-position model. The record is from RNAcentral.